Molecule: unclassified non-coding RNA, 352 nt
Filed under: soil metagenome
Description: partial contains 5.8S ribosomal RNA, internal transcribed spacer 2, and large subunit ribosomal RNA
Rfam family: 5.8S ribosomal RNA (bases 1-120)
Source: RNAcentral
GAUGAAGAACGCAGCGAAAUGCGAUAAGUAAUGUGAAUUGCAGAAUUCAGUGAAUCAUCGAAUCUUUGAACGCACAUUGCGCCCGCCAGUAUUCUGGCGGGCAUGCCUGUCCGAGCGUCAUUUCAACCCUCGAACCCCUCCGGGGGGUCGGCGUUGGGGAUCGGCCCUUUCACCGGGUGCCGGCCCCUAAAUACAGUGGCGGUCUCGCCGCAGCCUCUCAUGCGCAGUAGUUUGCACACUCGCACCGGGAGCGCGGCGCGUCCACGUCCGUAAAACACCCCAACUUCUGAAAUGUUGACCUCGGAUCAGGUAGGGAUACCCGCUGAACUUAAGCAUAUCAAUAAGCGGAGGA